Molecule: ribosomal RNA, 119 nt
Filed under: Elusimicrobiota bacterium
Lineage: Bacteria; Pseudomonadati; Elusimicrobiota
Source: RNAcentral
AUCGGUGACAAUUCCGGCAGGGAAACACCCGUUCCCAUUCCGAACACGGCAGAUAAGCCUGCCAGGGCCGAUGGUACUAUCGCCUAACUCGGCGUUGGGAGAGUAGGUCGUUGCCGGUC